RNAcentral lists this ribosomal RNA (254 nucleotides) under uncultured bacterium. RNAcentral describes it as "partial 16S ribosomal RNA". It matches the Rfam family "Bacterial small subunit ribosomal RNA", at positions 524 to 776 of the family's 1533-position model. The record is from RNAcentral.
UACAGAGGUCUCAAGCGUUGUUCGGAUUUAUUGGGCGUAAAGGGUGCGUAGGCUGCGGGGUUAGUUGGAUGUGAAACGCCACGGCUCAACCAUGGCACGGCAUUCAAUACUGCCUUGCUAGAGCACUAGUGAGGAGGCUGGAAUUUACGGUGUAGCAGUGAAAUGCGUAGAUAUCGUAAGGAACAUCAGUGGCGAAGGCGAGCCUCUGAAUAGUAUGCUGACGCUGAGGCACGAAAGCCAGGGGAGCAAACGGG